AUUGAACGCUGGCGGCAGGCCUAACACAUGCAAGUCGAGCGGAUGAAUGGAGCUUGCGCCUGGAUUCAGCGGCGGACGGGUGAGUAAUGCCUAGGAAGCUGCCUUAUCUUUGGGGAUAACGUCCGUAAACGGGCGCUAAUACCGCAUACGUCCUGAGGGUGAAAGUGGGGGAUCUUCGGACCUCACGCUAUCAGAUGAGCCUAAGACGUAUUAGCUAGUUGGUGGGGUAAAGGCCUACCAAGGCGACGAUCCGUAACUGGUCUGAGAGGAUGAUCAGUCACACUGGAACUGAGACACGGUCCAGACUCCUACGGGAGGCAGCAGUAGGGAAUCUUGGACAAUGGGCGAAAGCUUGAUCCAGCCAUGCCGCGUGUGUGAAGAAGGUCUUCGGAUUGUAAAGCACUUUAAGUUGGGAGGAAGAGAAGUAAGUUAAUACAUUGAUGUUUUGACGUUACCAACAGAAUAAGCACCGGCUAACUUCGUG
This 484-nucleotide ribosomal RNA is filed under the name uncultured bacterium. RNAcentral describes it as "partial 16S ribosomal RNA". It matches the Rfam family "Bacterial small subunit ribosomal RNA", at positions 30 to 507 of the family's 1533-position model. The record is from RNAcentral.